Molecule: ribosomal RNA, 319 nt
Filed under: uncultured Pseudomonadota bacterium
Lineage: Bacteria; Pseudomonadati; Pseudomonadota
Description: bacterial SSU rRNA
Rfam family: Bacterial small subunit ribosomal RNA
Source: RNAcentral
AUUGAACGCUGGCGGCAUGCCUUACACAUGCAAGUCGAACGGUAACGCGGGGCAACCUGGCGACGAGUGGCGAACGGGUGAGUAAUAUAUCGGAACGUGCCCAGUAGUGGGGGAUAGCCCGGCGAAAGCCGGAUUAAUACCGCAUACGACCUACGGGUGAAAGCGGGGGAUCGCAAGACCUCGCGCUAUUGGAGCGGCCGAUAUCAGAUUAGGUAGUUGGUGGGGUAAAGGCCUACCAAGCCUACGAUCUGUAGCUGGUCUGAGAGGACGACCAGCCACACUGGGACUGAGACACGGCCCAGACUCCUACGGGAGGCAG